This 465-nucleotide ribosomal RNA is filed under the name Vreelandella stevensii. RNAcentral's name for it is "partial 16S ribosomal RNA". It matches the Rfam family "Bacterial small subunit ribosomal RNA", at positions 338 to 795 of the family's 1533-position model. The record is from RNAcentral. Lineage: Bacteria; Pseudomonadati; Pseudomonadota; Gammaproteobacteria; Oceanospirillales; Halomonadaceae.
CCUACGGGAGGCUGCAGUGGGGAAUAUUGGACAAUGGGCGAAAGCCUGAUCCAGCCAUGCCGCGUGUGUGAAGAAGGCCUUCGGGUUGUAAAGCACUUUCAGUGGGGAAGAAAGCCUUGGGGCUAAUACCCUCGAGGAAGGACAUCACCCACAGAAGAAGCACCGGCUAACUCCGUGCCAGCAGCCGCGGUAAUACGGAGGGUGCGAGCGUUAAUCGGAAUUACUGGGCGUAAAGCGCGCGUAGGCGGUCUGAUAAGCCGGUUGUGAAAGCCCCGGGCUCAACCUGGGAACGGCAUCCGGAACUGUCAGGCUAGAGUGCAGGAGAGGAAGGUAGAAUUCCCGGUGUAGCGGUGAAAUGCGUAGAGAUCGGGAGGAAUACCAGUGGCGGAGGCGGCCUUCUGGACUGACACUGACGCUGAGGUGCGAAAGCGUGGGUAGCAAACAGGAUUAGAUACCCGGGUAGUC